GUAAUAAUUGGGCACGAUUUGGCCCAUUAAUGGCGUAAUGGAGAACGGGACCGGAUCAGACCGGAAUCAGGGAGUUGUCACGGUCGAUCGGACCUGUUGGAGUGGUUGAACCGCCGGCUGUGGUGGGCCUGGGGUCUGUGGAUGGUAAGUGCAUUUAUUACCGAAUGAACCGGCGGUCAGGGAGAGCCAUACGUUCUGAUGGUUCAGUGAUCCGGAGAUCGUCUUGGGCCGUGUUCAUUAAAUGACUGAGUGUAUCGGAGACUUGAGAGAGUCUCGUGCAUUAAUGGCAGGUCGUGCCGAAUACCUGCGAAGAUCUUAUGCCUUGAUGGCUUGGAGAUAGUGGCAGGUUAUAGUGGAGUUGUCAGGUCC
This 369-nucleotide long non-coding RNA is filed under the name Phoenix dactylifera (date palm). RNAcentral's name for it is "long non-coding RNA (PDAC_LNC016333)". Lineage: Eukaryota; Viridiplantae; Streptophyta; Magnoliopsida; Arecales; Arecaceae. The record is from RNAcentral.